UUACAUAUAGAUUCUUAGUUAGUUUUCUUAAUUUUUUUGUUUCCCCUUCGUAAAUUGCUACGUUGUGUUUACUUGCAGUAAAUUAAUGUUAUUUCUAUCAAGGAUUUGAAAUUAUAUUAGUUCGCUAAUUAUUUAACUUAUUUCACACAUCACUUCCUAUCUUAGGCUCCCGCAUCAAAUUUCUCUUCCUCUAAAAUUAAGGCCCAAAGCGCUAGAGAAAUCGCAAUGAUAGCAGUACGUGUUCGCGGUAUAAGAUGGCACAACGCGCACGUCGGGAAAGAAAGCGUUCUGAGAAUUACACUCAACCUCUACCCAAAGACUUUCCAGUAUUAACACCACCCAGAGAGAAAGUAUGUCACACGCCCACUAAUUGUCGGACAAAUGGAAAAGAAAAUAUGUCUACCUCUUUGGUAAGUUUUUUGAUCAAGUGCUUGAUACGUAUCUCUUUUGCUCUUAAGAAAAAUAUAGUGGUAAUGUAUUGUCUUUCCCUUGUUCGAUAGUUGUAUAGGAAAAUACCGGUGAUUUACACUCCCCCACAACCCUUAUGUCAUGAUCUGCAAGACCUAACUCCAUUGCACCGAGCCACUAUAGCACACCUUCCACAAAAAAGGUCGCGGAUAAAUAAUUUGAAAUGUUAUCUAACACCUACAAUUGCGUCCGACCCAGUUUUUAUUCCAACUGACUUUGCUUUAUUCUCACCUAUUCUGGUGCGACCUUUACCGUCACCUCGAAAUUUAGAGACAAACUUUGCUCACUAUGAAGUUGUCCCCAAUGUAGCACCACAUUCUCAUCAAACUGACGACAAUGUCCUCAUGACGUCGUCUCCUGUUCUGGAAGAUCUAACAUUGUAUGUAUAUUCUACAUAGUUUAUUAGUUGCCUACUAUCUUACUUCUCAUAUUUGUGUACAUACCAUUUUUAUUUGUAGAUUCCCACCAGAACCCUUUAACGAUGUUUACAGUAUGUUUAGUGAUGACGAAAUGAAUGUUAUUAUCCCUGUCAAUAAUGAGCGUCAUUUUCUCGGGCCGAUGAAUAUUCAGUGUCCUUAUUGUUCAGCCUUACAUUGGCGGGACGAACGAUUAUCUCGCACAGGAUUGUCCAAUCCAAGAUUUGGAACAUGUUGUCUACAAGGCAAAAUUAAGUUACCGGAACUCAUUGCACCCCCACCUCCUAUUCGUGCAUUGUUUGAUGGCCAUGAUGGUCAAGCAAAAUCAUUUCGUCGGCAUAUUAGGGAGUACAAUGCAGCUAAUGCUUUCACGAGCUUGGGUGCUAAGCUUGACGACAGAUUACUCAACUCAAGAGGGCCAACAUCGUUCACUAUCUAUGGAGAAUUACGUCACCGUACCGGGUCAUUGUUACCCCCGGAUGGUUGCGCACCCAUCUACUGUCAGUUGUACAUAUAUGACCCAGCCACUGCAUUGGAUAUUCGGUGUGCGCGGAAUAAUAACUUGUGUCGAGAUGUCCUCAACACUAUACAGAAUUGUUUGUUGUCAGUGAAUCAUUUUGCUUCAAAGUACAAACGUGCCCAUGAAAUACUAACUGAGUCAGAAUCUUCAGAUCAUGAUUUACGUGCUCACCUUCAUUACACGUCAGCAACUAAUAGGCAUCAGUACAAUCUUCCAACCACUGAUGAAAUAGCUGUGAUUUUGCCUGGUGAUGGUAGUGAGAGUAGUGGUAUGCGGGAUAUUGUUCUGCACCUAAAAGGAGAUAAUAGAGCCCUGAGCCAGAUCAAUGAGUGUCAUCCAGCAUAUUUACCAUUACACUAUGUACUUCUAUUCCCUACUGGUAAGCUUAGUUGGGAACCUGGUCUACGACAGUGGAACUCCGAAUAAAAUGAUUUUUCAGUAAGAAGGAUGACACAGAUGCAAUUUUACAGUUAUCGUAUGUUUCCACGUCCCACCGAGUAUUUUACAAUUCUUAGAGGAUGGAAGUUAUUUCAAGAGUUUAUAGUAGAUGCUUGGGCAUCAACGGAGCAAAACAGGUUGUCUUACAUCAGACUCAAUCAGGAUAAGUUGCGUCAUGAGAUUUAUGCAAAUUUGUGUGACGGCAGUGUUGAUGAGUUGGGCCCCGAUCAGAUCGGACAACGCUUUGUUCUGCCAUCGUCCUUUAUUGGGAGUGCACGUAACAUGAGCCAGAUUUUUCAUGACUCUAUGGCCAUUACAAGGUACCACCAACUCCCUGACAUCUUUCUCACCAUGAAGGCCAACCCAAAAUGGCCCGAAAUAACAGCUGCCUUACUAGAACACCAAACCUCUUUGAAUCGUCCAGACAUAGUUGCCCGUGUUUUUGAGUUAAAACGGCGUGGCCUGAUGCAUGAGGUAAAAAAUGAACAGAUUUUUGGUCGAAAAGUUGCUCAUGUAUUCACCAUUGAGUUCCAAAAACGAGGGUUACCAUAUAUGCAUGCUUUAUUCUUCCUUCAUGGCCCUGACAAGAUUUAGACAACUGCACAAGUGGAUCGGUUAGUUAGUGCUGAAUUCCCAGAUCCAUCCACUGAUCCAACUCUGUACGAAACAAUCAAGAGUUGUAUGGUUCAUGGUCCCUGUGGUUCGCGAAACCCUUAUUCAACUUGCAUGGUGAACGGUGCAUGCCGGUUCCAUUAUCCAAAAGCCUUUGCAGAUUCAACUACUAUGGAUGAACAUGGGUACCCUGUUUACCGUCGUCGUUGUAAUGGUCAGUCUUACACCACCAGAGGGCAUACAUUUGAUAAUCGAGACGUCGUACCUUAUAAUCCACACCUAUCAAGAAAGUUCAACUGUCAUAUAAAUGUGGAGGUCUGUGUAGGAAUAAGGUGUGUCAAAUAUAUCCACAAGUACAUUUACAAAGGUCAUGACCACACAACUAUGGUUAUAGAAGGACCAGAUGGAAACAAUGAGAUAAAGCAAUACCUUGAUGCAAGGUAUAUUGGACCGACAGAGGCUACAUGGCGACUCUUCGGUUAUCCUCUUCAUGAAGAAAUUCCUUCAGUUGUACGGCUAGAUCUACAUUUACCUGGGAUGCAUCAAGCUGUUUACGAUCCUACUAAAACACUUGAAACAAUAAGACUUGGGUCUAGGAGUCAAAUCACAACUCUGACUGGAUUCUUUAACUGUUGUUCUUCAAAUGAUGUUGCACGUGCCUACACAUAUCAAGAAUUUUCCCAACAUUUCGUUUGGAACAAAGGUCGGAAGAUUUGGACUCCGAGACAGAAUGGGUUUGUAAUUGGCAGAUUAUACUUUGCUACGCCCAAUUCUGGGGAGCGAUUUUACCUUCGAUUGCCAUUAAUAGUUGUCAGAGGACCGCAUUCUUUUGAUGGUCUACGCACAAUCAAUGGUGUGUUUCAUGAUAGUUUUAAAUCAGCGUGUAUAGCUAUGGGGCUCUUGGAAGAUGAUGCAGAGUGGGUACAAUGCCUCCAGGAGGCUUCAACCAUGAAUACGGGAUACCAGUUACGGAGACUAUUCUGCAUCAUUCUGGUAGAAUGCUCCCAAUACAACCAUGCACUCUGUGGAAUCAAUUCUCCGUCCAUAUAUGUGAUGAUCUUCGUCACAAGCUACAAACAACUUUUGGCAUAUACGAUCUAACACAGUCUUAAAUUGAAGAUUACGGUUUAUAUUUGAUUGAUCAGUUGCUACAUGAAUCUGGCAAAAAAUUGGAUGACUUCCCACCUAUGCCACACCCCGUUCAAAAUUGGAGUUCUGUUUCAAGUAAUAGAUUGUUGAUCGAUCAUAUGCAACUACGAAAUGAAGCUAAUCAACUGAAUGACCUUUUGAAUAUUGAUGUUUUAAAUAAUGCUCAACGUAUGGCUUAUGAUGCUAUCACUAUCUCUGUUGCUGAAAAUCAGGGCAAAAUGUUUUUCCUAAGUGGAGGUGCAGGAACUGGGAAAACCUUUUUGUACAACACCAUCACCACUAAAAUGCGCAACGAAGGUCAUAUCGUCAUUACAGUUGCUUCAUCAGGAAUUGCAUCGUUGUUGUUAUUAGGCGGUCGGACAGCUCAUUCUACAUUUUGCAUUCCAUUCGAUAUCAUAGAAAGCUCGGUAUGUGGUUUCAGCAAACAGUCACCGCAUGGGGAAUUAUUUAGGGAGGCUCGCUUGAUAAUAUAGGACGAAGUUCCCAUGCAGCAUCGACAUGGUGUUGAGGCAGUUGAUCGCACACUUCGUGACGUCCGUGAUGAUAACCGACCAUUCGGUGGUAUCACGAUUGUGCUUGGCGGGGAUUUUCGUCAAAUACUACCGGUGAUACCUAAGGGUCAGCGAGAACAAAUUGUUGGUGCAUCUUUAAGACGUUCUACAAUGUGGGUGAGUGUGCGCGUAUUGACUUUGAGCAUAAACAUGCGUCUGAAUGGCAAUCAUCCUGCAAAUUCUUCUCACGCAUCCUUCUUGGAAGAGGUGAUACAUUUAAUUAUUCAUUUAUAUGUACUGAUAUGUUUCACAUCAUACUUAGAUUGGGAUCGGUACGCAAGAUACUGUGGAACUUCCUCCAACGAUACACAGGUGUCGAACUCUGCAUGAACUAAUUUCUAGAGUUUAUCCACAACUAGAUGUGCUCAGUGUGGUAACCCCAUCCUAUUUAACUGAGCGCAUAAUUCUUUCUGCUCGGAAUGAUGAUGUCUGCGCCAUCAAUGAUGCUGCUCUACAAAUUUAUCCUGGCGAGACAUAUACCUACUUGGCAACUGAUAAGGUGUCAGAUGGGGACGAACUCUGUCGUUCUACCACUAAUCAAUAUCUAAGUGAGUUUCUAAAUUCUCUAAACCCGCCAGGUUUACCGCCUUUCAAGUUGGAGCUAAAGGUCGGGUGCCCCAUCAUAUUGUUGAGGAAUAUAGCCCCGAAAGAUGGACUCUGUAACGGGACCAGACUAAUGGUUGUCAAGUGCGCAUCGCGGGUUAUUGAGGCUAGAAUUCUAACUGGUGACAAAUCUUCGAAUCUGUGUUUCAUCCCGCGGAUAUCAUUAUCACCGUCGUCCAAAGAUUUACCAUUUCAAAUGACUAGACGCCAAUUCCCAGUACGCUUAACAUAUGCUAUGACAAUCAAUAAGUCGCAAGGCCAGUCAGUCAAGUUUGUUGGUGUAGAUCUGCGCUUGCCUGUAUUCAGCCACGGUCACCUAUAUGUGGCCAUGUCUAGGUGCACGUCGGCUGAUCGCAUCAGUGUCCUUCUCCCUCCUAAUGAAUCAUCUAUCACGACAAAUAUCGUAUAUCCGGAGGUGUUGUUGGACUCUGUGUAAAUAUUAUCUCCUUUUUUAAUGUUUUGAAACUUAGGUCAGGUAAUUGGUUCAUGACUUUUGUUAUGUUUCAAGCAAUAAGGACACUUCUUUCUUGGUAGAAAAAUUGUUUUGUCAAAUUCUUGAUUUGAAAUGCUCUUCAUUUGUUAGUUUUAAUGUAUGCCGUACCUUUAGUCUACUCCUUUAGUAAUCUUAAAAUUAGGAUUUUUGAUUAACAUUUUCCCUAACCAAUAUCAAAAUUCAUAUCAAAAUCAAAACCCUCAAAUUGGGAUGUUCCUAAUUCAAAUUUUCAAUACCCUAAUUUCAAAACUAAUUGACAGCACCUAAUAUUGUCAUUUUGAGAGAGAUUACAAACUGAAAAAUACCUGAUUAGAUUCUCUCUUAGACGUUUGGGAAUGGACAACAGUCCGCAAGUCCAAUAUUACGAACUGUCGUAGUUAUAGCUGCCGGAAAUGAGAAGGCGAUGGCGUUAUUAAAUAAUAUUUUGAACAUAUUUAUAGUAACCACUUGAGCCCGAAUCAAGUCUCAAAUUUACUGUCUCACGAGUACUAUUGAUAUUAACCUUAAAAUUUUAAGGUCACAUUGAGCCCAAGAGUAGCAUUUAGACCUUGAACAUAUUGAAACAACAUAUCCUAACUUGAUCCAUCUUGAUUUAUACUCUUUUUGAAGUGCUUAUUUGUGUCUUUUUUUGGUGAGGGUGGUUUUUUUGUGCACUCAUUGUCUUAUAGUAUAAAAGAGAAAACAAGAAAUUGCGAGUUCUGGAAGUAAAGGAGAAAUUAUAACCUUAUAUGAAUUAUUAGUUAGCCAAUGAAUCAUGAUUUACUUUAAAAAAAAUUAAGCUAUUUGCUUUCAUAUUGAGUUAAGUGAAAAUUUGGAUCACUUUCAUAAUUAUAGAUUGUUUUUUGGUAUACAUUUAUUUUUGCAGAUUAGUAUUGUAGAUUUCUUUUUCAUGGAAUUUUUUUUUUCAAGCUUAGCAUUAGGUAUACACCGACUCCUAGAAGAAAUUGGUCGUUUUGAUGUCAUUUAUAUCUCCAUCUCCAUCUCCAUCAUGCAUUCUUUUCUAUGAUCAAUAGGAAAAAUAAUUUCUUUAAUUAUGUAAACCAAUUAAAAUGAGUGUGUGAGACUUUGUCUUAGGAUCCAGAAAUUCAAACAAAGGCUAAAGAUUUGAACCGAGUCUUAAUGGAGAAUAGCACAGUCGAACAUUCUCAUUAAUAUCAGUUUAUUCAUAAUUCUAAAGUAAUUACUUCAGGCAGAGAAAAUGGGAUAGAGAAACUUAUGACAAUAGUCAAAUUGAGUAGUUUGUGUAUCAUGUUUCUUUUGCUACUGCAGGGGUUUGCGACCUUUGACUAAAGAAUGUCAUGCUGCCAAGCUUUUCUCAAAGCAUAUGAAGGUUGAGAAUCAGGUAGUGAUAUCUUUUCUCAAAACUUUUAUUAGGUCUGAGUACUGGAAUCUAUAAUAUAAGGUGAGG
RNAcentral lists this long non-coding RNA (6658 nucleotides) under Panax ginseng (ginseng). Its description in RNAcentral is "long non-coding RNA (PGIN_LNC015590)". Lineage: Eukaryota; Viridiplantae; Streptophyta; Magnoliopsida; Apiales; Araliaceae. The record is from RNAcentral.